RNAcentral lists this ribosomal RNA (439 nucleotides) under uncultured bacterium. RNAcentral's name for it is "partial 16S ribosomal RNA". It matches the Rfam family "Bacterial small subunit ribosomal RNA", at positions 339 to 795 of the family's 1533-position model. The record is from RNAcentral.
CUACGGGGUGCUCCAGUGAGGAAUAUUGCACAAUGGGGGGAACCCUGAUGCAGCAACGCCGCGUGGAGGAUGACGCAUUUCGGUGUGUAAACUCCUUUUAUAUGUCAAGAAAAUGACGGUAGCAUAUGAAUAAGCACCGGCUAACUCCGUGCCAGCAGCCGCGGUAAUACGGAGGGUGCAAGCGUUACUCGGAAUAACUGGGCGUAAAGGACGCGUAGGCGGGUUGGAAAGUCAGGUGUGAAAUCCUACAGCUUAACUGUAGAACUGCACUUGAAACUUCUAAUCUAGAGUAUGGGAGGGGGAGAUGGAAUUAGUGGUGUAGGGGUAACAUCCGUAGAUAUCACUAGGAAUACCUAAAGCGAAGGCGAUCUCCUGGAACAUUACUGACGCUAAGGCGUGAAAGCGUGGGGAGCAAACAGGAUUAGAUACCCUCGUAGUC